GGGGGGCUGCUAUACAUGCAAGUCGAGCGAACAGAUGAAGUGCUUGCACUUCUGACGUUAGCGGCGAACGGGUGAGUAACACGUAAGGAAUCUACCUAUAAGCGGGGGAUAACAUUCGGAAACGGGUGCUAAUACCGCAUAAUAUCUUCUUCCGCAUGGAAGAAGAUUGAAAGACGGCUCUGCUGUCACUUAUAGAUGACCUUGCGGUGCAUUAGUUAGUUGGUGGGGUAACGGCCUACCAAGACGAUGAUGCAUAGCCGACCUGAGAGGGUGAUCGGCCACAUUGGGACUGAGACACGGCCCAAACUCCUACGGGAGGCAGCAGUAGGGAAUCUUCCGCAAUGGGCGAAAGCCUGACGGAGCAAUGCCGCGUGAGUGAAGAAGGCCUUCGGGUCGUAAAACUCUGUUAUAAGAGAAGAACAAAUUGUAGAGUAACUGCUACAGUCUUGACGGUAUCUUAUCAGAAAGCCACGGCUAACUACGUGCCAGCAGCCGCGGUAAUACGUAGGUGGCAAGCGUUGUCCGGAUUUAUUGGGCGUAAAGGGAGCGCAGGUGGUUUCUUAAGUCUGAUGUGAAAGCCCACGGCUUAACCGUGGAGGGUCAUUGGAAACUGGGAAACUUGAGUACAGAAGAGGAAUGUGGAACUCCAUGUGUAGCGGUGGAAUGCGUAGAUAUAUGGAAGAACACCAGUGGCGAAGGCGACAUUCUGGUCUGUUACUGACACUGAGGCUCGAAAGCGUGGGGAGCAAACAGGAUUAGAUACCCUGGUAGUCCACGCCGUAAACGAUGAGUGCUAGGUGUUGGAGGGUUUCCGCCCUUCAGUGCCGCAGUUAACGCAUUAAGCACUCCGCCUGGGGAGUACGACCGCAAGGUUGAAACUCAAAAGAAUUGACAGGGACCCGCACAAGCGGUGGAGCAUGUGGUUUAAUUCGAAGCAACGCGAAGAACCUUACCAAGUCUUGACAUCCUUUGACCACCCUAGAGAUAGGGCUUUCCCUUUCGGGACAAGUGACAGUGGUGCAUGGGUUGUCGUCAGCUCGUGU
Molecule: ribosomal RNA, 1043 nt
Filed under: Aerococcus urinaeequi
Lineage: Bacteria; Bacillati; Bacillota; Bacilli; Lactobacillales; Aerococcaceae
Description: bacterial SSU rRNA
Rfam family: Bacterial small subunit ribosomal RNA
Source: RNAcentral